UACGGGGGGGGCAAGCGUUGUUCGGAAUUACUGGGCGUAAAGGGCCCGUAGGUGGCCAACUAAGUCAGACGUGAAAUCCCUCAGCUUAACUGGGGAACUGCGUCUGAUACUGGAUGGCUUGAGUUUGGGAGAGGGAUGCGGAAUUCCAGGUGUAGCGGUGAAAUGCGUAGAUAUCUGGAGGAACACCGGUGGCGAAGGCGGCAUCCUGGACCAACACUGACACUGAUGAGCGAAAGCCAGGGGAGCAAACGGG
Molecule: ribosomal RNA, 253 nt
Filed under: uncultured bacterium
Lineage: Bacteria
Description: partial 16S ribosomal RNA
Rfam family: Bacterial small subunit ribosomal RNA
Source: RNAcentral